CGCGCAGGCGGCCAGGUCAGUCGAAUGUGAAAGCCCCCGGCUCAACUGGGGAGGGUCAUUCGAUACUGCCUGGCUUGAAGAUAGGAGAGGGAAGCGGAAUUUCAGGUGUAGUGGUGAAAUGCGUAGAUAUCUGAAGGAACACCAGUGGCGAAGGCGGCUUUCUGGCCUAUUCUCGACGCUGAGGCGCGAAAGCUAGGGGAGCGAACG
Molecule: ribosomal RNA, 207 nt
Filed under: uncultured bacterium
Lineage: Bacteria
Description: partial 16S ribosomal RNA
Rfam family: Bacterial small subunit ribosomal RNA
Source: RNAcentral